Molecule: ribosomal RNA, 479 nt
Filed under: uncultured bacterium
Lineage: Bacteria
Description: partial 16S ribosomal RNA
Rfam family: Bacterial small subunit ribosomal RNA
Source: RNAcentral
GAUGAACGCUGGCGGCGUGUUUAACACAUGCAAGUCGAGCGAGAAGUUUUGAAAAGAUUCUUCGGAUGAAAUUUAAAAUGGAAAGCGGCGGACGGGUGAGUAACGCGUAGGCAACCUGCCCCAUACAAAGGGAUAGCAUUUGGAAACGAAUAUUAAUACCUUAUGAAACUUAACUAGUGCAUGCUAGGUAGGUCAAAGAUUUAUCGGUAUGGGAUGGGCCUGCGUCUGAUUAGCUAGUUGGUGAGGUAACGGCUCACCAAGGCGACGAUCAGUAGCCGACCUGAGAGGGUGAACGGCCACAUUGGAACUGAGACACGGUCCAAACUCCUACGGGAGACAGCAGUGGGGAAUAUUGCACAAUGGGGGAAACCCUGAUGCAGCAACGCCGCGUGAACGAUGAAGGCCUUUGGGUCGUAAAGUUCUGUUCUAGGUGAUGAAAACUGACAGUAACCUAGGAGAAAGCCCCGGCUAACUCCGUG